This 283-nucleotide ribosomal RNA is filed under the name uncultured bacterium. RNAcentral describes it as "partial 16S ribosomal RNA". It matches the Rfam family "Bacterial small subunit ribosomal RNA", at positions 1 to 283 of the family's 1533-position model. The record is from RNAcentral.
UAUNGUUUGAUCCUGGCUCAGAUUGAACGCUGGCGGCAGGCCUAACACAUGCAAGUCGAGCGGAUGACGGGAGCUUGCUCCUUGAUUCAGCGGCGGACGGGUGAGUAAUGCCUAGGAAUCUGCCUGGUAGUGGGGGACAACGUUUCGAAAGGAACGCUAAUACCGCAUACGUCCUACGGGAGAAAGCAGGGGACCUUCGGGCCUUGCGCUAUCAGAUGAGCCUAGUGUCUGGAUUAGCUAGUUGGUGUGGUGUAAUGGCUCACCAAGNGCGACGAUUUCUCUG